CUAGACUUUGCUGAUGCAAAGUGUGUUUUGUUUGCUUUGAACAGCCAGAAAUAUAUGGAAUCACAAGGAGACUGAUUGAAAACCUGGAAGACAGACACUUUCCAGUCUGAGCUUUCUGUUGUGGAAACAGGGUAAGCCAGCAUAUAUAUGCUCAUAUAUACGAGCAUAUAUGAGAAGCAAAUCAAGCAUGACCAACUGGCACAUUUAUGUGGAGCAAGAACAGACGUAGUGAUUCAGUGGGCACAGCUGGGUUCGGCUGCGUCCCAUGCUGCUCCUCGCUUGGACAGGGGUAGCUGGAGGAUCUCUGCAUGAUUUCACUGCACAUCUCCUGGUGGCACACCAAAUUAUGACUGAAAGCUGGUAAUUUUUUCCUCUUCUUCUUUUCUUGAUAAAGAAAAUAUUUUACCAGGUUUGUCAAAAGAGAAGUUUCAUUGUUAUAAAUAGUACUACUCAUUCAAUAAAAAGUCUAGUAUUUCAGCAAA
Molecule: non-coding RNA, 482 nt
Organism: Anas platyrhynchos (mallard)
Lineage: Eukaryota; Metazoa; Chordata; Aves; Anseriformes; Anatidae
Source: RefSeq, a predicted model, not a curated record